Long non-coding RNA from Hevea brasiliensis (rubber tree), 833 nucleotides. RefSeq lists it as uncharacterized. The record is from RefSeq and is a predicted model, not a curated record. The transcript has 4 exons. NCBI's taxonomy places the organism in Eukaryota, Viridiplantae, Streptophyta, Magnoliopsida, Malpighiales, Euphorbiaceae.
ACUUUUAGGGAGUUGUGAAUCUCUGUUGGUGGUAAUCCUACACGUUAGGGAUGCUUUCAUUACCCAUAUCCAUGUUCUAUGACAUGUCCUGGUCUCUUUUAAGUCUCAUUUGAUGUUCAAAAUCGAAGUGAUGUUUAAAUGUAUCUCACUUAUGUUUUAGAUUUCUAAUUUCAAAUUGUCAGUUUGUGAUUAAAUGAAAUAAUCCACUGGAUAUUAUAUCAUGUCAAUGCUUUUUCAUAGUUAGUGUUUAAUAUUUAAGUCUGUUUUAUAAGCCUCGAGUUAUUAUCGCCGUUGUAGAAUAAUCCUUGUCUUUUACACUCUUACUUGGUGAUCUCUAUUUUGCAGGAAUAAACGUCCAGAAUUUACUGCCUGGUUAGCAGAAGUGAAACAGGUGAACCUGGAAAGUGUAUCUAAUUGGGAAGAGAAGCAAAUGUUCAAAGUGCAAGUACAUAAAACUGUUCAACUACUUGCAGUUUUCCCAUCAGACGCAUUUCAUGGAAUACAGUAUCUAUGGAGGACCAUAACACAGCAACCUUUCCAUCUAAAAAGUAUUAUGACCUUGAUGCUCAUCACAAGCAUAAAAUGGAGAAAGAAAUGAAAAAAAUGUUUCAAGAAGGUCCUGGAAAAAGAGCGUACUGUUUUCAAUGAUGACGUACUGUUUUCAAUGAUGAAGAACAUCGUUGGUAUAUUAUAGAGAAUCACAAUUCCUAUAUCAUGUCAUAUUAAGAAUUUGAAAAGUGAUUGGGCACAAUGAUUUCGUAGGGACCUGUUCAAGGGUGGAUCUAUUUAAAAUAAUAUUAUAUUUAAUAAAUGUAGACUUAUUGUUUUGACAA